AGGUGCGAAAGCAGGUCAUAGUGAUCCGGUGGUUCUGAAUGGAAGGGCCAUCGCUCAACGGAUAAAAGGUACUCCGGGGAUAACAGGCUGAUACCGCCCAAGAGUUCAUAUCGACGGCGGUGUUUGGCACCUCGAUGUCGGCUCAUCACAUCCUGGGGCUGAAGUAGGUCCCAAGGGUAUGGCUGUUCGCCAUUUAAAGUGGUACGCGAGCUGGGUUUAGAACGUCGUGAGACAGUUCGGUCCCUAUCUGCCGUGGGCGCUGGAGAACUGAGGGGGGCUGCUCCUAGUACGAGAGGACCGGAGUGGACGCAUCACUGGUGUUCGGGUUGUCAUGCCAAUGGCACUGCCCGGUAGCUAAAUGCGGAAGAGAUAAGUGCUGAAAGCAUCUAAGCACGAAACUUGCCCCGAGAUGAGUUCUCCCUGACUCCCUGAGAGUCCUGAAGGAACGUUGAAGACGACGACGUUGAUAGGCCGGGUGUGUAAGCGCAGCGAUGCGUUGAGCUAACCGGUAC
RNAcentral lists this ribosomal RNA (512 nucleotides) under Escherichia coli. RNAcentral's name for it is "partial 23S ribosomal RNA". It matches the Rfam family "Bacterial large subunit ribosomal RNA", at positions 2395 to 2901 of the family's 2925-position model. The record is from RNAcentral. Lineage: Bacteria; Pseudomonadati; Pseudomonadota; Gammaproteobacteria; Enterobacterales; Enterobacteriaceae.